Molecule: ribosomal RNA, 168 nt
Filed under: uncultured bacterium
Lineage: Bacteria
Description: partial 16S ribosomal RNA
Rfam family: Bacterial small subunit ribosomal RNA
Source: RNAcentral
GCUGGAUUCGCUAGUAAUCGCGCAUCAGCCAUGGCGCGGUGAAUACGUUCCCGGGCCUUGUACACACCGCCCGUCAAGCCAUGAAAGCCGGGGGUACCUGAAGUACGUAACCGCAAGGAGCGUCCUAGGGUAAAACUGGUAAUUGGGGCUAAGUCGUAACAAGGUACC